Molecule: ribosomal RNA, 540 nt
Filed under: uncultured bacterium
Lineage: Bacteria
Description: bacterial SSU rRNA
Rfam family: Bacterial small subunit ribosomal RNA
Source: RNAcentral
AGAGUUUGAUCCUGGCUCAGAACGAACGCUGGCGGCGUGCCUAACACAUGCAAGUCGAACGGGGAUAAGUAGCUUGCUAUUUAUUCUAGUGGCGCACGGGUGAGUAACGCGUAGAUAAUCUGCCUUAGACUCUGGGAUAACAUCUCGAAAGGGGUGCUAAUACCGGAUAAGCCCACGGGGACGUGAGUUCUUGCGGGAAAAGGGGGCCUCUGCAUAUGCUCUUGAUCUAAGAUGAGUCUGCGUACCAUUAGCUUGUUGGUAGGGUAAUGGCCUACCAAGGCGACGAUGGUUAGCUGGUCUGAGAGGAUGAUCAGCCACACUGGGACUGAGACACGGCCCAGACUCCUACGGGAGGCAGCAGUGGGGAAUUUUGCGCAAUGGGGGAAACCCUGACGCAGCAACGCCGCGUGAGUGAUGAAGGCUUUCGGGUCGUAAAGCUCUGUCUAGAGGGAAGAAGUGAUAUUCGGUUAAUGCCCGGGUUUCUUGACGGUACCUCUGAAGGAAGCACCGGCUAACUCCGUGCCAGCAGCCGCGGUAAUA